Cloeon dipterum is the source of this 3089-nucleotide long non-coding RNA. RefSeq lists it as uncharacterized. The record is from RefSeq and is a predicted model, not a curated record. Lineage: Eukaryota; Metazoa; Arthropoda; Insecta; Ephemeroptera; Baetidae. The transcript is spliced from 5 exons.
UGCCGCUUCCCUAUCUCUCCCCAUGUUAAAAUGCGCGCACGCGGUUGGCGCUACAGCUAAAUUCAUGAAGCCACCCGCGGACUGAUUGGUGUCAAUCGAACGCGCACGAGUCGUUUUAUCACAUAACUCGGAACCGAGCCUGAAAACAAAAGCGCUUUCGAGAAUUCCACCGCUGAAAUCUGCCCAUUUCGCUGCGAGCUCCGACAGCGACGAUCGCACCCGAGCGCCAGCGGCUGUCGGCGAAGCACGCAUCACCAUGGCAACCAGACAACAAGUGACGUCACCGAGCGAUUUCAUUGGUCCGCCGUGUGUCACAACUGCUUGGGAAAGAAAACAAUAGUGAGAACACCAAAACAUAACAAUCUCUUCUUGCUCUUCUUGUUUUUGUAACCCAUCGUUUCGUGCCUUGUGUUGAAGCAGGCGCCGGUGGGCCGGUGCCGCCGACACCAGCGGCGAUGCAGGCGGCCGCCGUGGCCCGCGCAAGCAUUCAAGCAGUGCAAGAAGAACCACCUCUCCACCUCCGAGUCGACCGACGACGAGAUGCCCGAGCUCGAAAGAGGUUGAACCUAAGGAAGCUGCAGCUGCUUGAUAAAGUUUCUCCACCUCGAUGAUCCACUCGAACGAUGAGACGGAGAUAAAAAGCAAUAGGCCCUCAGUAAACUGCCUGCUUUUAGUGUUCUGGCAGGCUUCAUUGAAUUUCUCCAUGUUCUUGUGACUGAAGGCCACACCACCUCUGGACAUGAGGAGCUGCCACCACCUGUCGAUUUUUCUGCAGAACCAGGCGGUGGACCAGUGUGAAGAGGCAGAGUACUCUCUCCGGUUGUACAGUUCAGUGACUUGUCGUACUGCCUUCCCAUGGUUAGGCUCAUCUCAUCGUACAUCAAAAUCAUCACUUUGUCAGCAGAGGUCUCAUGCCCCAUGCGAUUUUUCAGAACAGUGAUGGCGCCAGAUUCUACACCAGGAGGAAGGGUGAAAUCUUUUGUCCGCUCCUGGAUUGUCUUAAUCGCUGGUGUAGGAUGGCCACAAUCAUAGUAGUGCUGAUAUCCUGAUGUUCCGAAAAUAAACUUUUUCUCUAGACCUUCGAGUAUUGCUGAGUCAGACCAGGCACUGACAGCUGCCCUUCCACCACUUUUAUUCUGCUUUUCUGUAAGACAUCAAUGUUCAUUAUUGUUUCUUAAAUUGCGGAAAAUGGGCUCACUCAGCAAAUCCAGUUGUUCCUUUGAGUAAAUUUUGCUCAAGUUUGUUUCGAGAACAGCUGCAGCCGUGCUGCUCUCCUUGAGUUCCUUGACUUGAUUUUCCAAGGCUUGGCACUUGGCCAGGAGCUCCCAUCGCUCUCUGGUGUCCUUCGAAUCUCCUUCGGCAAGCCAAUUAAUGACCUCUAUUUUGUUGUAAAUUCCUUCUUGGGGAUUCAGCUUACUUUCCAUUCUUUCUUUUGGGGGUUCAUUGAUUAUUCCUUAUUUUAAUGUGAAAUUACUCAAUAUAUCUUUAAUACAGAUUUAAUCUAUAUUACCUGUUGAUAGCUCAAUUUCCCAUGGAAGCGCUUGACCUGACAUGGCUUUGGAUUGACACACUACAGGAAUUUCCCCCAAGGGAAUUGGCGAGUCAAAGUCCAUUUCUUGCUCUGGACAAAACCUCUUGCAUCGUUGCUGGUCUGCAUUUUGAUGUUGUGCUUCGUCCCUGCGAGCUUUAGCUCGUUUGCUCCUGGCCAGGCUUUUCUGUUCUUUGGCUUGCGCUUCAGGUGUGUAACCCUUUGCAUUUGCAGGAGCAGGUACCGUACCCAACUUAAGUUUAGGCUUUGAGCCACUAGUCCAGUCAGUGGGUGAGAAGUGGGCCUUAAAUAAUUUUAAGUGUAUAGAUUUUUGAAAAUUGUAUAAUUUUCUUUUUAAAAAAUUUCAGGUAAGCUACUAAAAAAUUUUAAAAAGAAAAUAUUUUUACCCAGCUCAAUAAAUUAUACAUGAUAUACAUUGCAAUUUGUUGGUUAUUUUAUUCAAUCAAUUUUUUCCAUUUUUUUUAAAUAUAAUAUUUUAAUCAUUAAAAUUUGCACCAAAAUAUUGAUAUGAAAAUUUUCUUUCAUGUGUUGAAUAAUUAACAUCAUUAAUAUUUAUUAAUUUUUAUUAUACAUAAAUUUUAAAUUAUUACUAAAUGUUAUUUCUAAUGGUUAGUAUACUGAAUAAUUGUAGUAUAAUAUGUUCAAAUCUUACUCCACAAACAUAGCUGAACCGUGUCGGGGUAAAAUUAGCCCUCUUCGAUCUCUUAAUCCAAAUUGAACAAAGGGCUGAAUCUUUGACUGGGAAAAAAGCACCAUCGUUUGCCCUUCUGUCACACCCAUAAAAAGAACACAGUCUGAACAUUUUGUAAAGACUUUACAUUAAGAGAAUUUAUGAGAAUUAACUUCAGCGUGGCCUUCAGUCAACUACUGUUCAUUUUCUCAGAUGUUUUAUUUGAAAUGUGUUGACAUGCUUCAACAUGUUUAAGUUUGAAUGUCUUUUGUCUCACCCAUCAAUCAAAAUUAAUAUUUAAAAGGAUUUUAAAAAUUCUAUUACAUGAUUUCUUUGAGUGCAAAGCAUAAAACGCAUUGAGGGGAAAAUUGGAGUAAAAAACAUUAUCUCCUUAUUUACUUUCAUUUAUGUAACUUUAUUUUUUGACACUUUAAAUACAUCCAUAAUUCUACUCUGCAGUCUGCAUUUGCAGGCCGCGUUUGCACAUUCUUGAAACGUGCCUGACGGCGGACCAAUGAAAUCGCUCGGUGACGUCACUUGUUGUCUGGUUGCCAUGGUGAUGCGUGCUUCGCCGACAGCCGCUGGCGCUCGGGUGCGAUCGUCGCUGUCGGAGCUCGCAGCGAAAUGGGCAGAUUUCAGCGGUGGAAUUCUCGAAAGCGCUUUUGUUUUCAGGCUCGGUUCCGAGUUAUGUGAUAAAACGACUCGUGCGCGUUCGAUUGACACCAAUCAGUCCGCGGGUGGCUUCAUGAAUUUAGCUGUAGCGCCAACCGCGUGCGCGCAUUUUAACAUGGGGAGAGAUAGGGAAGCGGCAGUGCGCAGGACACAGUCGCGUCGGUCGGCCUACGCAUCUCACUCUCGUUAUAAUCACUC